CAGUAGCGUAUAUUAAAGUUGUUGCAGUUAAAAUGCUCGUAGUUGAAGUUCGGAUGCAGCAGAGCUUGGAAACGCUGUUAUGGUGCUUCCGUUGCUUUUGCUUGUCCACAGUGCGUUGCAAGUACGUAUGUGCUUGUGCGUGCAUGUUACUUUGAGAAACAUAGGGUGUUCCACGCAUGUUACGGCAUGAAUAUUCCAGCAUGGGAUAAUCUGGUACGACUUCCAAUCUGCCAUUUUGGUUCGUAGGUUGGAAGUAAUGAUUAAUAGGGACUGUCGGGGGCAUUGGUAUUUGACUGUCAGAGGUGAAAUUCUUAGAUUCGUUGAGGACCAACCACUGCGAAAGCAUUUGUCAAGGAUGUCUCCAUUAA
Molecule: ribosomal RNA, 368 nt
Filed under: uncultured eukaryote
Lineage: Eukaryota
Description: partial 18S ribosomal RNA
Rfam family: Eukaryotic small subunit ribosomal RNA
Source: RNAcentral